AAGUAAAUUAAUCUACUUUUAUAGAACCAAUUUUGAUUGGUUUGAUUGGUUUUGUCUUGUAGUAUGGAACGACUUUUUCAAAGUUUCAAGCGUCAACGUUUUAUUUCGCGCCCUGCUUACUUGGAGCGGGGAAAGUGAAAACAGAAAACCCGGAACGGAUCUCAAGCGGAGAGGAUAUGCAGCGCUCCCCUCCACUCACUAACUGACUCCAGUCCUGCUUUCCGCCUGUACAGCUUUUACAACCGUUGGAACUAUUUUCUUGGGUGGAGAGAAAUGUAUGCAAGAAGAAGCUAAUUUAUGAGAAAUCUCUGUUCACAUUUAAAUUCUGACUGACCUCUUUCUCUAUGAGUGGCAAUGGAUAUUUCACAUUGGGAUCUUGCAAGGUUUUUGGAAACUUGCUUUGCUUCUGAUCUCCAUUGGACCCUCCUGGUUUUAGGAGGAGGAAGAGGACUGUGAUCACCACUAUAGAUAUCCCGAUUAGCACAGGUACUGUCUGCAAAGAAAGGGACUAGAGAGUGUUAAAUUGCAUGAUGGCUGGUACUGAGGAAUAUACCGCAGGCUUCUGGAUUCCACCACAAGGUUCUCCCCAACUCUUCACUCCCAUCAGAACAACACCAGAUGUGUUUGUUAGACAAACGAGAGGUCCAGCAGUCCAGUGAGUCUAGAGUGAAACAAUAUUCCGGAGAAAAGAAACAAAUAGCUUGUGCUGAUUAAUCUCCUUUCGUUGUUACAUCAAAGAAAGCCAUAGGCUGCAACUGAAAUCACAUCUCUCUCUAGGUACUUCUUUUGAAUAUGUAAUUACUUUGCGACAGCUAUGUAUGUUCUGUAUAGCAUGAAUGUAAUGCGGAUGCGCUACAUCUGUCAUGUUGUCACUGUCAUGUUAUUGAUGUUGUUACUGAUGUCACAAGGACUAUUUUAACGAUGUCCUUACUUCCUUUCUGGGCCUUGAAUGUGUCAGUUCCGUUGCUGUCUAUGGAGGGUCAGUAAGCUCUUGAAUUUCAUCAAAGAUAUAUUAAUUUGUGUUCUGAAGAUGAACGAAGGUCUCAUGGGUUUGGAACGACAUGAGGUUUAUAGACACAGUGUGCAUCAGUAAGGAUCCAUUGUGACUGGAUGAUCGCCCCACUGCAUUCAUAACCUGCACCCAAACUAAUGUUCACGUGCCACGACAGUUUCCCAUCAUCCUCUGUUGUCCUUGGGGUAUCCAAUCCAGAGGUAGCAAAGAUGUCAGGCAUUCCAUACGGAGCUGGGAAUUCAGUGGAACAUGUGCAUGAAUGCUUGCGCUGGAUUCCACGCAUUCUAAAGGCCCUCUGAGACAAGGAGUCUCUUUUAGAGCUCAACAAAAAAGUCAAUGUGACUGUGGACAGCAGAAAGGACAAAAGCAAGCGUGUGUGCAGCACAAACCAGCCUGCAAAUGUGUGAAACUGAUCAGAGGUUCCAAUCUCACUGCAUGCAUGCAUUCAUGACCGGACAGACAGGUCACGACUGGACAGAGGAGACACCAGGCAAUGACUGGGCCAACACAAGAGCUGAAGAGUUGUUUUUAC
Molecule: long non-coding RNA, 1544 nt
Organism: Onychostoma macrolepis
Lineage: Eukaryota; Metazoa; Chordata; Actinopteri; Cypriniformes; Cyprinidae
Exons: 8
Source: RefSeq, a predicted model, not a curated record